UGAGCACGAUAGGACUUGAACCUAUAACAUCAAGAUUAUCGGUCUUGCGCUCUGCCAUUGAGCUACGUGCUC
This 72-nucleotide transfer RNA is filed under the name Coelastrum sp. F187. Its description in RNAcentral is "tRNA-Ile". The record is from RNAcentral. Lineage: Eukaryota; Viridiplantae; Chlorophyta; Chlorophyceae; Sphaeropleales; Scenedesmaceae.